Molecule: small RNA, 102 nt
Filed under: Halpernia frigidisoli
Lineage: Bacteria; Pseudomonadati; Bacteroidota; Flavobacteriia; Flavobacteriales; Weeksellaceae
Description: Flavo-1 RNA
Rfam family: Flavo-1 RNA
Source: Rfam by way of RNAcentral
UUUUAGCCCCGAUAGAAGCGGCAUACUUUUUUGCUUGCUAACUCUAUCUUAUUAUAAAUCUAAUGUCUGGCAAAAAAGAUAGAGCGGAAAGCGGGACGGGUU